UUGUUUUUUUUAUUUUAUUUUUAUUUGCAGUGCAUUGAGCACUCUCGGCCACCAUACCAUCCUCUUUGCAACAGUCUUACAGCAAGCUUGUAUAAAGCACUAUGACAUUUACUUCAAUCAAGACACAGCAAUCAAACAAACACAAUUUUAGAUUAAUUUACAUUAGUACAAAUAUAGCUAGCUUACUAUCAAUCAUUUUAAGAAAGCAAAUCUGAAUAACGCAUUCCAUAUCCAUGCAAUAAACAUUUCAGAUGCAUUGUCCUUUAGUUCCAUCUUAUUAUAAUUGUUCACCUUAGACUCUCCUACAAUACUUGUUAGUUCAAUGUGGCAUUGUCCAUGAUAUUCGAAAAAUCAGUUACACUCUUGCUCAAUUGAUAAUACUUCUGUAUCAAAUCAACCUUCUGCAAUAUUGGCUUUUAUGAAGCAAAAAGUAAAUAAAUAAAUACAAAUGCUGGAGUGAAUUGUUUGAAAAUAAAGACAUAUGUUGGGCUGGAUGCAUGUUCCACAUGCAGUGAUAUACACUAAAUUCAUUACAUUUCAGUAAAAAAAUAAUAAAUAAUAAAUAAUAAUUAUUACAUUAAUUAUAAUAAUAGCUACAUUUUUAGUAGUAGUAGUAGUAGCAGCUGCAGAAGCAGCAGCAGCAGUAAUAGGAGUAGUAGUUAUUGUUCUUUUACCUAUCAGACAGGAGACUUUAAGUUGAAGUUAUCUUCCCAUACCCUGCCCUUUGUUAUUUUCCUUUGUAUCUUCCCUUUAACACCGAUUGUCUUCAUGCAACUUUGUUAUUGGUUUUUCAAUACAAUACUGUAUGGGCCUGAUAUGGCACAUUUCCAAGUGCCUCCUGCCAAGGAAUAGGGAAAUUUAAUUCUCUUGUCUUGUGGCUUGUAAAUGAUUAAAGAUGUUUUCAGUAAUGCUGGCCAAUAAACCUUGAUGAUCACACAGUUGAUGUCAGGAACGUUUCACCCUUUACCCCUCUUACAACAAAUAACAAUAAAGACCACUUUGAGUUCUGUGUCUAGCACUGUAAUGGUACUGACGCUAACAAAUACUGAUGCAAAAUUCUAUUCUUUUAUAUGAAUCUUAAAAACCACAGCAACCUGCAUCUUCUGGAAUUUAAGUCUAAAUUUAUGGUGCUAUUGAGUGAGCAAAUGCAUAUGUGCAGUCAUUCUAAAACUUCCCUUAAGAAGAUUCCAAUUAGAGGCAGGGUUUAGUUUGAGUUACUCAUCAAAGGUUUCAUUAAGGAUUAAAAUGAACUGACUGUUAAAGCUGUUUCCUAAGAGAUACAUGUUCACCACAUCAUACAAUUAAAAUGAUGCAGAGCAUAUUCAUUCAUACUUGAGAACAGAGACAUGAUGAGUACAGCGCAGGGCUGAUAAUGCAGUAUGAUUCAGUGACUGUUAUUAAACAAUAGUUUACCCCAGAAUUAAAAUUCUGUCACCACUCUGUGACAUUUUGGAUGUCUCCCUCACCUAACACACCUGAUCAGCUCAUUAAUAGAGACUGGAAGACCUUCAUUGGGUGUGUCCAAUAAGGGAGAAAGUUAUCUUUGUUGUUGUUGUAUUGUUUUUUUUGUUUGUUUGUUUGUUUGUUUGUUUGUUUGAAAAACUUAGCAAAAUGUAUAAACUAACCUCAAGGAACAUUCUAUAAAAUUAAGGAUGAUAACUAUAAUAAUAACUAUGACCCGGUUUCACAGACAGGGCUUAGAAUAAGCCAGGAGUAGGCCUUAAUGUGUACUAGUGUGUAGUCGGAGACUACAGAGUCCUGGAGUAAAUUAAGUAAGCUUAAAUGAGAACACCUGGGAUAAGCCUGAUUAUGAGUAUAAGCACAUGCCAUUGGACUGAUGUUGGUCAUAAAAACCUGGAAUGGACUAGAAAACAUUAUUAUUGGUGUACAUCUUGACACAAAACAAUAGCAGAGGCAAAAAGAAUUCAUUUAAAAAAACUUUAAUGAGUAUGAAAAAACGCCACUGAAACAAAUUGUGACAAACUAUCCAGUUAUUGAAAGCAAAAUCCACACUUCUUCAAGUAAGCAAAAGAAAAGGAGUGCUUGGAAUGCAAUUUGCAAUGAAUUCAAUGCAAAUGAAAAUGCAACCACAAGAAAAAUACAACAACUUCAGACUCUGUGGAAGAACCUUAAACUGGCUUUAAAAAGACAGAAUGUAGACAUCAGAAGACAGGGUUUUUUUUUUUUUUUAAACCACUGAUGGUGGACCACCAAAUAAAGACAAAACUCAUGAACUGAGUGACUUGCUGUCUGGAAAAAUACAGCACCAGCAACCUCUGGAUGGUAUACCAGAUGAUGAUCACUUGAACAGUUCAGAUGAAGAACUGAGCACAAAUGAAGAAAAGAAUCUGAACAGGUUUGAAGAGCCAGAGCACAAUGAGUGCGUGCCCUCCACAUCUGCGCUAGGAUCCCUGAGAAAAGAUGCUGCCACCACCUCUUUCAGAAGAGAACAAGCAAGAUGACCCUCCAUGAAAAGUUAGCCAGAGAAUUUCAUGAGAAAAAAACAAAACAAAAUGGAGUACCUGAAGGAAGAACAUGAAAUGAAAAUGAGAAUUCUACAGGUUGAAUUGGAUAUGUUGGAAGAAAGGUGUAUGAUCCAAAAAGAGAUACAGUAAGGAGACAACUGUGAUAACCAGCCAUGGUGAACAAUGUGUAAUAAUAAUAAUAAUAAUAAUAAUAAUAAUAAAACUUUU
Molecule: long non-coding RNA, 2693 nt
Organism: Cyprinus carpio (common carp)
Lineage: Eukaryota; Metazoa; Chordata; Actinopteri; Cypriniformes; Cyprinidae
Source: RefSeq, a predicted model, not a curated record